AAACUACGCCUACAUGAAGCUGGAGUUACUAGUAAUCGCAGAUCAGAAUGCUGCGGUGAAUGCGUUCCCGGGUCUUGUACACACCGCCCGUCACACCACGGAAGUUGGGGCGCCCGAAGCCACUUAGCUAACCCUUUGGGAAGCGAGUGUCGAAGGUGAAAUCAAUAACUGGGGUGAAGUCGUAACAAGGUAAC
RNAcentral lists this ribosomal RNA (194 nucleotides) under uncultured bacterium. RNAcentral describes it as "partial 16S ribosomal RNA". It matches the Rfam family "Bacterial small subunit ribosomal RNA", at positions 1307 to 1500 of the family's 1533-position model. The record is from RNAcentral.